Molecule: small RNA, 18 nt
Filed under: Arabidopsis thaliana (thale cress)
Lineage: Eukaryota; Viridiplantae; Streptophyta; Magnoliopsida; Brassicales; Brassicaceae
Description: ATSL066450
Source: RNAcentral
AUUACAGAGAAAACAUUU